Molecule: long non-coding RNA, 11777 nt
Filed under: Brachypodium distachyon (stiff brome)
Lineage: Eukaryota; Viridiplantae; Streptophyta; Magnoliopsida; Poales; Poaceae
Description: long non-coding RNA (BDIS_LNC003904)
Source: RNAcentral
CGCAGGUAAGUCGGGCCGGUUCUGCCCAUUUGGUCGGGCUAAUCCAUUUCCUUCUUUUCUUUUCUUUUUUGUUCUUUACUUUUUUUCCUUUUUCUUUUUCUGUUUCUUUUAUAACUUUUGAUUUUUGUCGUAGCGCUGGGCUCCGACACCGGGGAUGCGCGGGCACCCCCUUUCAGGUUCGGCAGUGGGCGGCGGGGAUCUCUUCGGCGAUCGCCGGCGGGGCCAACGUCAGGCGUUGGAGGACAGUGUACACAGGAACGCUUUUACCUAGGUUCGGGCCAGCCUGAGGUGUAAAACCCUACAUCCUGCCUCUGAGUUUGUUAUUAGCCAAUGAACUAGGGUUAACAGGUUACCGGGGGGAGUUCCCGGGUACUCUCUCUUUCUAGCCUCAGUGCUACUUGCUACUUCUCGCUACUACUAGUAGUGGACUGAGAACCGAUCCAAUCCCUUGACCGUUGGCGAGGGUCCUCCUUUUAUACCGAAGGGGAUACCACAGGUGCCUUGGUGCAUGGGCUCCAAAUGGCGAACGGAGAACUAGGGCAGCUCGGCCCCGCUGCGCUGGCUUGCAUGCAGGAUGAGUAGCUCUGCACCUAGGGGUCCAGGUGCCUAAAAUUUACCCCGGGCCAGUCACUGUAGGCUGACUGGAUGGGGAAUCCCCUUUCUGUCGGUGCAUUUAAUGCUCGCGUGGGAUUCACUCCUUGUCCUGACGAGCCCUGCGCACAGGGAACCCGCCGAGUGGCCACGUGGCGUCGCUGUCCCGCCCGCUCGGUCCCGCUCUUGUAACGGGCAAUUGCGCCCGGGAACGCCCUUCCCGGCAAGUAACCUCCUGGGAAGCGCCCAGGCGGGAAUUCUCUUGCUGCCCUCCAGGGCAACCCCCGCAGCCCCUGAUCGUGCGGAUGAGUAGCCCUGGCAACACAGUUAGACUUUGGGUGGCUCUGUCUCGCACGGGUAGGCUUUAUGUGGGUACAAAUAUGGUAGUUUGUGUACGUGAAGUUGAUUCACCCAUUACCUUCCCAUGUGGACUCCCUCUUAAUAGUACGGAGUUCCUACGACUCAAUAUAAAUAAAAAGCCGCUAAACACCGCUACGCUUGUUUCCUUUUUGAGGGCAACGAACCGUCUUGUGCCAUAUGAUCUCAAAUCUGAAACACUCGAGCACACGGUUAGUCCACGAGUCAUUUUGUCAUUAACACCAAAACACUUAGGGAUCGAAAUGCCCUUUCAGAGAGUGGAGGAGAGUCGGAGCUCAGCUGGCCCGACCUCGAGUCCCCCGGUGAUGAGGCGGGUCAAGUUGCUGGGACCCAAGCGGUCCUCCCCGCGGCGGAGGAGGAGGAGGAGGACGACGCGCCCCUGAUCGUGCGGAGGUCAAGGGCGCCCGUAGCCGCGGCCACCUCCGAAGUGGCCGCUAGCGCCGCGGCGGCUUCCACGGCGACCGUGGGCACGGCAACCCCACGGGCGCCCACGGCCCCGCCCAAGCGGGGGCUCUUCCAGGGCUUCGAGUUCAAGCUCAACCCCCCAAAGGACGGCACCCCGAUGGGAGCCGGCAAGAGGGGGACAGCCGACUUGCCACCCGCUGCGCCGAGCAAGAAACUGCGCACUCGGGCCAACACCAGCGCCGACCCGGCCGGCGCGGGGGGCGGUGGCGCCACAACUGCGCCUGCCGCCGACCCAAUCCCAGUGGAGGAGGAUCCGGCAACUGGUACUGACCCUUCCCCUGGUUCCAUCGUUUAGGCUUUUCCUGCCUGUUGAUCCGCAGCCGUGCUGCUUUUUAAUUCACAUGUGAAGUCCAACCCGCGGCGGGCGGCCCGGAAACAGCGGCUGGGACGGAGCAGGAGGAAGCUCCUCCCGCAAGCCCGACGGCCCCGCAAGGUACUCAUCCCGAGCUUCCUCGCGUUCAUCGCCGGGUAACUUAGUUUAUUCUUGAUUCUAAUUCCUUUCUUUGCCCCAGACCCGACUGCGCCCACGACGGGAGCGGGUGUUGUGGUGGUCAACCUCGGCUCCAACGUCGAAGACGCGGAGACGAGGGAGGAGCCGGAGGCGGCUCCCGCGCCAAGCUCCACCGUGCCGGGCGCAAUGGUGGGGGCACCCACCCUCGCUCCCGAGGCGGAGCUCGGCAGCGCGUCCCCGGCCACGUAGGCUGAUGGCGCGGAUCCUGCAGCCACCCAGCAGGAGGCGUCUCGUGCCGAGGGCGCAGCGACUCCUCCAGUCCCGGCCCCCACGGGUGCGGGUGCGGGGGAGGCCGCGGCAGUGGAGCAACAGGAGGCUCCGCCGCAAGUAGACGAUGCCCCGCCCGGCCAAACAGUGGCGGUGGGGGCCUCGUCGUUGUCUGCCACAACCUCCGGCGCGGACCUUGGCAUCCUUGCCGGGGUGACUUGGGAUCCAAUCACCUGGGACCCAAGCAUCUUCGACCAGGGGCACCAGUUCCUUGACGCCAUCAAGGAGCAACAACUUGCGUUCGUCACCUCCUUCAACCAGGUGAAGGAGCGUCACGAGCUCGUGAAGGGCCAACUCGGCGAGGUGCGGCAAGCCGUUGAGAGGGAGCGGCAGGAGCUCUCCCGGCUACGGGAGGAGACGCGCCUGGCCCGGCAGGCCAGGGAUGAAGCCGCAGCACCGAUCGUCCCCGAGGCGGAGCUCCACCGGCAACUGGAGGCCUAGCGCACCGAACACCAGCGGGCCCUGGACUUGCUGGCGGCGGCGCAGGAGAAAGCCAACAAGGAGCACGGGGAGGUGCUCGCCACGGCCCAAGCUCGCCUCAACGAGAAGAGCGAGCUGGUCUGCAGCUACCUCUCCCAGCUGCAGGCGCUGCGCACCAAGCUGGACGAGCAGACCAAGGCUGCGGAGGACGCGGCAGCGGCGUCGGUACGGCGGGAGAAGGAGCUCAACUCCGCCAAGGAGAAGAACGCCCAACUCGAGUCCGAGUUGGCCACCGCCCGGGAGGAGCUCGUCAAGUUGGGCGAGGACAACGUGGCCAAGGCCAUGGAGAUCUCGCGACAAGCUGACCUCCUCCGCCAAGCCAAGCAUGCUGUGGUGCUGGCACGCGGCAACCACGCCACGCUGGUGGAAUAGCGCCGGCGGGAAACCGUGAAGCUGCUCGGGAUCGCCCGAGCGGUGCGCGACCUGUUGCCGCGGUUCGAGCUGCAGGCCGCGCAGGUGGACGGGACGGACAUCAGCACGCUGAUCCCGUUUUUCUCCAACAUGGUGGGGAAGCUCGGGGCGCUCGAUGUGUGGAUCUCCAAGUUCUACGACGGGGAGAUUGCCACGUGCGCCAGGGAGAUCGCCGGGACGAUCCUUCCCCGGGUGCACCUCCGCCACCCGGACUUCCCCUUUGAGACGCUGCUGGACGCCUGGUCGGACAGCGAGGACGGCCAACUCACUGCCAGGCGGAGAGCAGGUUCGUCGAGGAGGUGGUGGAUCGGAUGCAGAGGAAGCCGGAGCCUAGGCCCGAGCCUGAGCCCUCGGCCGAAGGCGCCGGCAACUAGUCGCUGCAAUCCCCUGCCGGACCUCGUUUUAUCUUUGUGCCUUUGUUGUGUUUUUUAUAUCCCUACAAGUACCACGCUUGGCACCGUUCGAACAAUGAACGUUUUAUUAGUUCAUGUAAUCAUUCACUGCGUUUUAUAAAUUUCGUUCUCUAGUUCUAUUUGGUGCUUGUUUCCUCUUCCCCGGGUUGACUCGCGGGGUGGAUCCACUAGCCUUCAUGUGGUGUGUCUUGUGUUGCCGGGGACUCGCGCGCCACACACUUAACCGGACCAAGGACCCGGGACGGACCCGCAGUGCCGACCUGGGGUCAGGUAGCAGCGGCGAGCCACUCCGCCUGCGGGAUAGCUACUCCCAAGCAUGCGCUCACGGGACUGACCCGCAAGCCGCACGAGGAGCGCACUCCCCCCGCAGGCGUCCUUUCAACACCCCAGCCACACGUAGGACUCGUGCCACACCAGCGAGCCAACGUUAAGUGCCAGAAAGCUUGGAGACUAGGCUCAUGUACUUAGCUGUCCGUUCUCACGCUUGGAAUACUUGUUGGAGGGAUGCGGCAGGAACGCUGUGGCGAGGCCGCCGCCGGUGCCAAGCACGGGUGGCGGCGCCACCACAGCGUCUCCGCGGCAACCCUCGCCUUGGGAACGCUCUCUGGAGGGAUGCGGCAGGAACGCUGUGGCGAGGCCGCCGUCAGCGCCAAGCACUGAUGGCGGCUCCACCACAGCGUCUCCACGGCAGCCCUCGCCUCGGAACCACCCUCUGGGGGAAUGCGGCAAAGCCGCGAUGGCAGUGCACCCAUCGGCACUGAGCACUGAUGGCAUGUACCACCAUCGCGGCGCUGCGGCAGCCCCCGCCUUGGAGAUGACCGGUGAAGUGAUGUGGCAGGGAGGCGAUGGCGGGAACACCCCCGGCACUUGUGCGCGGAGAAAUGCUCCACCACCACUUCUCUACCGCAUCACUCACCAUCUUCUUAGCUCCGCUUUGGGUUGCUCCAUGGCCACCACGCCUUUUUAUAGGCGCGGUGGAGAAUCUCGCCACCAUGCGCGCCGAGUCGCUGCAGCACACGUGGCGGCACCCUCCCGCGUCAAAAUUCUUGAAACGCAGCAAGAGCCUUGCCACCAUGCGCGCCAAACCGUCGCAGCACACGUGGCGGCUCCCUCCUGCAACAGGAACCUCGAAGUGCGGUGAGAACCUUGAAGUGCGGUCGCUACGCACUACUGGGCACCACUAAAUGACACAGCCCGUGAGCGGUCCACGAGCAUUACAGUGCGCAACUCCGUCCUUGUCCUGCACGUCAGAUUCUUACCGAGCACAGGAUGCUGCAAAUGUUUUUCGAAAUACACGAAAAAAGACGCAACAUGGAUAGAGCACAGGUAACCCUCCUGCCUCCCAGCCCCCGGGCACAGAAGGGUCGAUGCCAAACUUGGGUGUGAGCACUAUUCCAUUCCCGGACGCAGCUUCUGCAUGAUGCGCAUUGUGGGGAGCCCGGCAACGGCAUGGCCCCAUGCCGGAGUAGUCCGGCAACGGGUUCUUCGUUUUCGAGGCUCCGGCAGCCCCCUGCUCACAACCAAGGAUGGAAAGAGACUUAUGUGCACCUAAAGGAGGAGACAAAAGGAGAAAAAACAUGCAAAUAAUCGAGGCAACUUGAAAUCCAGAGGAAAACACUUAUCUUUAUUCAUAGAAACUCGUGGUUUACAAUCGGGGGUUGCCCGGUUACACUAGUUCGAGAGGCAUGCUACCGAAGCAUCACCUGUGGGUCGGGCUCCGCCGCGUCACGGGUAGAACUUGCGCAAGUGCUCAAGGUUCCAACUGUUUCGCACCGGCAAGCCUUCUUCGGUUUCCAGUCGGACAACCCCUGGCCUGGUAACCUGCACUACCCGGAACGGGCCCUCCCAUUUCGGAGUUAGCUUGUUCUCGGCCUUCGUUCCUUGUAUCCGGCACAGGACAAGGUCUCCGGUCUCGAGCUCCCGGGGACGAACCCGCUUGUCGUGAUAACGGCGGAGUCCCUGCUGGUAGCGUGCAGCUCGCAUAGCAGCCCGGCAUCGAAGUUCUUCGAUGAAGUUUAGAUCGUCAACCCUCUGCUCGUGUUGGCUAUGGCUGCCGUACGCGCGUACCCGAGGGGAUCAAUGCUUGAGCUCGAGGGGCAGCACCGCUUCUGCCCUGUAGACAAGGGCGAAAGGAGUUUCACCCGUUGCCCGGCUAGGUGUGGUCCUGAUCGACCACAGCACGGGCUGGAGUUCUUCAAUCCAGUGCUUCCCGUGGCCUUUGAGCUUGUCAAAGGUUCGCGUCUUGAGCCCCUGCAAGACCUCUGCGUUGGCCCUCUCCGCUUGCCUGUUGCUCCUUGGCUGAGCAACAGACGCGAAGUAGAUCUUGGUGCCCAUGCCCUCGCAGUAGGCUUGGAAUGCUGCGCUUGUGAACUGUGUGCCGUUGUCGGUGAUGACGCCAUUAGGCACACCAAACCAGCACACGAUGCCUUUGAAGAACUUGACGGCCGCCUGGGCGGUCACCUUCUACCCACUUGGAGAACUUGUUGAUGGCCACGAGCAGAUACUCAUAGCCGCCAACUGCUCUCGGCAACUUGCCGACGAUAUCUAGCCCCCAGACCGCGAACGGCCAGGAGGAUGGAACGACUUGCAGGGCCUGCGCCGGCUGGUUGCUCUUCUUCGCGUGGAAUUGGCACGCGUCGCAUGUCUUGACCAGCUGCUCGGCAUCAGCUAGCGCCAUAGGCCAGGAGAAGCCGUGCCGGAACGCCUUGCCGGCCAGAGCCCGGGAGGCCAAAUGGUGAGAAUAUGUGCCUCGGUGUAUCUCCUCCAGCAGCGCACGCCCUUCGUCCUGGGGCACGCAGAGGAGCUUCACUCCGUUUGCACGCCUCCGGUAGAGAUUCCCAUCCACCAGGGCGUACAUCUUGGCUUGCCGGGCUACAUGCUCCGCAGCAACGUCAUCUUCCGGGAGGGCUUCUCCCUUCCGAUAGCGGGCGAUAUCCACCGCCCAAGGCGGGGUCUCCCUGCCCAUGCAUGCCACUAUAUCAGCGGCAUGGACCUGCGCUGCUGUGGGGUUUCCCUCGGUUGCCGAGGGGGGGGGGGUGACCGAAGGCGCAGUCUGCCUGUGCCAGAACACCCCCGCCGGAACCUUCCGGCGCUCCGCUGCCAACUUGGAUAGCUCGUCUGCCGUGAAGUUAUCCUUGCGCUUGACAUGCUCAAAUCGUAAACCCUAGAACUUGCGUUCCAGCUUGCGGACUUCAUCCACGUACGCUGUCAUCUGCGGCCAGUCGUAGUCCUUGUUGACCUGGUUGAUCACGAGUUGGGAAUCCCGCGAACAACCAGGCGCUUGAUAUCCAGGGCGAUCGCCGCCUGCAACCCGGCAAGCAACCCUUCGUACUCAGCCGUGUUGUUGGUGGAGUUGGGGAAGUCGAGCUGGAUGGCGAACUUCAGCUGAUCCCCCGUGGGCGACUCGAUGACGACUCCGGCACCAGCCCCCUGCAGGCCGAACGCGCCGUCAAAGUACAAGACCCAGUGGCCUUCGUCCAGCUUGCCGGGCAGGCUGGUCUCCGACUCUUCUUCUUCUACGCUCGUCGAAGUCCACUCUGCCACGAAAUCAGCCAAGGCCUCACUCUUGACGCUCUUGGUGUUGGUGAAGUGCAGAUCGAACUCCGAUAACUCCAUCCUCUACUUGGCCACCCUUCCGGUUGCUUCACGGUUGGUGAGGGCUCGCUCAAGGCAAAACCCCGACACUACCGUGACGCGGUGCGCCUGGAAGUAGUGGCGCAGCUUGCGUGAUGUAAGCAAAAUCCCCAACAAGAGCUUCUGCACCUGCAGGUACCGCCUGCGAGCAUCGCGCAGCACCGUGCUGACGAAGUACACCGGGUGCUGCACGAGCCGCUUGCGCGGCGCUGACGCUGCUGGCUCAGCGACGGUUCCCGGGUCCGAUGCGGCUGCCGAGGCUGGCUCAGCCCCCUGCCUCACAAGUCCGGUCCCCGGGAGUUCUCUUCUCUCUCGGCAACCAGCACCGAGCUAACCACUUGGUCAGUCGCCGCCAGGUAGCGUAGCAGCGGCUCGCCCGGCUUGGGGGUGGCGAGGAUGGGCGGCGACUUCAGGUACUGCUUGAGAUUCUGGAACGCUGCCUCAGCCUCGGGGGUCCAAUCGAUCGGGCUCUUCUUCUUCAUUAUCUUGAAGAAAGGAAGGAGGCGUUCACCCAGCCUUGAGAUGAAACGCCCCAACGUGGCCACGCAGCCAUUGAGGCGAUGCACGUCCUUCACCUUGCGGGGAGCCUCCAUCUUCUCGAUAGUUUCUAUCUUCUUUGGGUUGGCUUAAAUCCCCCUGUGUGAAACCAAGAAACUUAGAAGCUGACCCAAGUCCACACCGAAGGUGCAUUUCUCAGGGUUCAGCUUGAGCUUGAUCCUGCGGAGGUUAUCAAACGUUUCCCGCAGGUCAUCAAUCAGCGAGUCCCCGCGCUUCGAUUCAAUGACAAUAUCGUCCAUGUAGGCCUCUAUAUUUCGGCCUAGCUGGGGGUCCCAAACACUCGCGUAAUGCACGCUGGAAUGUUGAGCCCGCGUUCUUCAACCCGAAAGGCAUGCAUGUAUAGCAGUAGCAGCCAACUGGCGUGAUGAACGCCGUUUUCUCCUCGUCCUCGACUGCCAUCUUAAUUUGAUGUUAGCCGGAAAAAGCAUCCAAGAAACACAGCAAAUCGCAACCGGCAGUGGAAUCUACUAUUUGAUCAAUGCGAGGUAUAGGGAAAGGAUCUUUCAGGCAGGCACGGUUAAGAUUAGUAAAAUCUACACACAUGCGAAGUUUAUUAUCCCCCUUGGGUACUACUACAGGAUUAGCUAACCAAGUGGGGUACAGUACUUCCCUGAUAGCCCCCACAGUUUUGAGCUUGUCCACUUCUUGCUUGAUGAAAUCUUUGCGCUCCUGUGCUUGCCGGCGGAUCUUCUGCUUAACAGGGCGGGCGUCUGGACGCAUCGCGAGUCGAUGCUCGAUCAACUCCCUAGGGACUCCGGGAAGGUCCGACGGCUCCCAAGCGAACACGUCGGCAUUCUCCCGGAGGAAACUAAUGAGUGCGCUUUCCUAUUUGGCAGUGAGGUGUGCACCGACGGUGACGGUGCGCUCCUCAUUGCCGGCUUGGAAGGGCAGCUUCUUCAUCAUGGCAGCCUCCUCCUUGAGCUUCUGGCCCAUGCUGGGGCGUGAUCUCGAGCCUGCUCCUCCCUCGGCAAGCCCUUGCGGGGUAGCACGGGCCUUCUUCGCUGCGGGGCCGUCGCCCGGCAGCGUGCCAUCACUCCCGGCAACGUCUUCGUCACCAAAGUCGGCCAUGGCGGCGGCCUUGGCGACCUCGCCUACACACCAGGCUGCGUCCUUGAGAUCGCACCUGAUGGAGAGGACUCCAUACGUGGACGGCAUCUUCAUCACGCCGUAGGCACAAUGAGUCGCCGCCAUGAACUUGAUCAGCGCCGGCCGACCAAGGAUCCCAUUGUAGGGCAACGGGGUAUGCGCCACGUCGAACACAAGGUGCUCGGUCCUGAACGCUUCCCGGGACCCGAAGGUCACCGGCAGCGUGAUGCGCCCCAAGGGGCGCACAAUCCCGGGAUUCACUCCCCAGAACGGGUCAGUGGGCUUCAACUGCUCCAGCGGCAGCUAAAGUUUCUCCACUAACUUGGCGGACAGGAGGUUCAACCCCGCUCGAUUGUCCACCAGCACCUUAGUCACCGUCAUUUUGUUGAUGAUUGGCGAGACCAUGAAGGGCAAAACCCCUGAACCCAGCUGCCUGGCUGGGUGAUCGUCGGCGCUAAAGGUGAUCGGCACGUGCGACCACUUCAGCGGUUGCUGCGCCUCUGCGUCCGGCAAUAGCGCACACACCUCUCGGGUGAGGCGCUUCACCGCGGCAUGAUAUGGGAGAGCGCAAGCUCCCCCAUGGAUGCAGGCGACGCCGCGAGGCUCCUGGAAGCCGGGCUCAUCGCCCUCGCUGCAGUCGGACUCACGCUGCUCCUCAGCGCGAGCCUUGUCUCGUCCCCAGGGAGGGCGCUCCCUGCCAGCGCGGGCCUGGCCGCGUCCCCCUGGCUGCCGGCAGGCUUCGGGCCCGCUCUGGGGUCGUUUGGUCAAUUUCGGGAGAGAUGCCCGAUGUCACCGCAGUUGAAGCAGACGCCGGCUGCUCGGCACUCCUCGUGGCGCUGCUCGCGCCUCUGCUUGAUACCCUGCAGGAUGCGGCAAUCCUGCGCGUCGUGGGUAACGUUGGCGUGGAUGGUGCAGCAGGGCACGUCGCCCGGCUUGGCACCUGGUCCGCCGCCAGGCAAGGCCUUCUUCGCAGGCCUUGGGGCAGCCCUCGACUCCGCGGCGAGCACUUGCUUCCCGCCGCGCUUGCGGGAGCUCUUCUUCUACGAGCCCUCAGCGGGGCUCGCGGCAGCCUUAGCUGCAAGCUCGGGCGCCAGGCGCCCUUCCUCGGCCAUGGCACACUUGUGCGCCAGGGCGUAGAGAUCCUAUGUCGUCCGGAUCCGAUGCGUGCUCAGCUUCUCCCGCAUCUUGGGGUCGCGGACGUUGAUGGUGAAGGUGUUGAUGAUGGCGGCCGCCUCCGCCUCUGGGAUGGAGUAGGAGAGACUAGAGAAGCGGUUGACGAAGUUCCGCAGCGUCUCUCCCGGCUUCUGCACCACGGUGUGCAGCUUCGCCAUGGUCCCCGGGCGCUUGUAACCACCCUGGAACGCGCUCACGAACUGCUCGCGCAUGUCCGUCCAAGUGGCUAUGGACCCGGCAGGCAGGUUGAGCAGCCAAGUUCUCGCUGAUCCCUUAAGGACCAUCGGGAACCAGUUAGCCCUGACCUUGUCGUCGGUGCCGAUGGCGUGCAUCCCCAACGUGUAGGUCAGGAGGAAAUCCUUGGGGUUUACGGAUCCGUCGUACGUUCCAAGCGCGGGCGCUCGGAACUUGCGGGGCCACGUCACCCGGCGCAACUUGCAGGUGAACGCAAUGCAGCCGUCCUCGGGCCCAUAGGAGCAUCCUCCUGCUCCUGCGGGUCUUGGCGCUCUGCCGCGCGUCGACGCCGAUGCUCCAAGCGCUGGUGGAGAUCCUCUUGCUGGCGGGCGUUCAAGACACCGCGCACGUCACCCCUUGUGACGGUUGGUGACGAAUCCGAGGACCCCUCAGGAUCCCCGCCUCCUUGCCCUCCCUGCGGGGGAGGGUUUUCUCCCUGCCCCGAGGCGCGGGGCACGUCUUCGCAUCCCGAGUUCUGCCUGCGGCGUGAGCCAGCCGGUGCGCCCUCGCCUUGUGGCUGUUGGGCGGCGAGUGCAAGGAGCGCCUCCAGCUCCGCACUCCAAGCCUCGUGCGUCGGCUUCCCCUGUGGCGGCUCGUAGCGCACCAUGACACGCGCGACGAUGAUAGCCUCUGCUGGGGUCUGGGCAAGAGGCUGCCCAUUCUCGGAGCGGCUGCCCUCCGCCCUGUCCCCCGGCGCCCUCGGGUGAGUGGGGCGCGAAUCAGUCGGCGUCGCUCGUGAUGCGCCGUGCUCCUGGCGCAGCUGCGGCUGCGCGUUGUCAGCCCGUGAGAGAGCUCGCUGACCGGCGCGUGCGGCAUUGUAGCCGCUCACGCGACUGGCCCCAGCGCUGGGGGCCGGCUCAGCCGGUUAUCCGCCGACGGCCGGGGUGGGGGGAGUGGCGGUGGGGGCAGCUGCGACUGCGGCUGCUGCACCCGGGCAGGCUCAGGAUAACCCUGAUCCUGCGACGUGCGCUGCACGUCGUGCGAUCGCAUGUGAGCCGCUGGGGCACCACGCGGGUCGAUCCUAAAGUCACCAGCCCGCUUGGGUGGCAUGAUGGCUGGUUCGACUGUCGUGGAAGAUGGAGCCGGUGCAGCUGUGGACGACGGCGCCGGUGAUCACCGGCGAGCUCUCCUCACGCGCCCCCUACCUGGUGCGCCAGAUGUCGUAGCGCUGGGCUCCGACACCGGGGAUGCGCGGGCACCCCCUUUCAGGUUCCGCAGGGGGCGGCGGGGAUCUCUCCGGCGAUCGCCGGCGGGGCCAACGUCAGGCGUUGGAGGACAGUGUACACAGGAACGCUUUUACCCAGGUUCGGGCCACCCUGAGGUGUAAAACCCUACAUCCUGCCUCUGAGUUUGUUAUUAGCCAAUGAACUAGGGUUAACAGGUUGCCGGGGGGAGUUCCCGGGUACUCUCUCUUUCUAGCCUCAGUGCUACUUGCUACUUCUCGCUACUACUAGUAGUGGACUGAGAACCGAUCCAAUCCCUUGACCGUUGGCGGGGGUCCUCCUUUUAUACCGAAGGGGAUACCACAGGUGCCUUGGUGCAUGGGCUCCAAAUGGCGAACGGAGAACUAGGGCAGC